Molecule: non-coding RNA, 74 nt
Organism: Aspergillus tubingensis
Lineage: Eukaryota; Fungi; Ascomycota; Eurotiomycetes; Eurotiales; Aspergillaceae
Source: the annotation of a RefSeq genome assembly
CCCUUGAUGGUCUAGUUGGUUAUGGCGUCCGGCUGUAAACCGGAAAAUCCCUGGUUCGAUUCCGGGUCGAGGGA